CAAUAUAUAUGAUGCACUAAGUGGGAAUGUAGUGUGAAAAUACUGUUCUUGUGCUUAAAAUUGAAAGGCAUGUCACCCCACUGUUUUAUUUUCUUCCUUUUACAAUGUUGAACAGAGUAACAAUAACAAACUGAGCCUGUCUGAUUCUAUUGUGCGUGACUUUGGAGUUGUUUGCCGUCGUACGCGGUCGUUUCUGUCCAGCAUCGUCUCUUCUCGACACGAAGAGUGCUCCGUUUCAGUAAAAUCCAGACUGUAAGGCUUUAAGUUUCACCUGUACCUCCUCAAUGUUCCAUACAUUCAGCAUGAUUGGUGUGGUUUUCUCCGCCUUCUCCGUGGGUUCCUGUCAGGUGACCUGCCGCUUGUUGAUAUUAAAUUUGUUCCUUUAGAGCGUAACACACACACGGUGUUAUGUUACUGAAGGCAUGUCAGCUGUACGGCUCGGUGUGACUCUGAGGAGAGCAAUAGCAAUCUCUCUCUCACACACACACACCCACACACACACACACACACACACACACACAAAACAAAACCCAAUACUGUCCUGUUUCAUUGCUCUUCUCUCUGUAGACCUCUUUCACAUCGACCCUAAGUUUAAGGCUUUAUAAUUUUCCAACAGUUUAUCCGUUCUUAAAAACACCGUGUUUAAAAACAACACAACUGCUGUUACUCCACGUGGCAAACACUAAUAUGUGGUUUAUAUGUUUUUCUUUGUGCUUUGUGUUUUAGUCCUUCAGUUUGCACACAGAUCUUAGCAGUUAGCAGUUUUCUUUGUGUGUGUGUGUGUGCUGUAUUUACUUAAUGAAGGCUAACCCUGUGGGUUUUCUUGGGUCCAUCAUCACAAACAUUAUUUCAUAUUGACCUCGUCUUUUCCCGUCAGUUUUACAAUUAUGCUCCCACACACACACACACACACACACACACACACACACACACUGCACUCACCACCAUAUUUUUUUGUUAGGUGCUUUCAUUUCAUUUGAUCGUUUGUAUAAUUUUAUUUAAAGCUAAUAAGUAUUAAUUAUUGUUGAGGUUGUUUAGAUUUCCUUUCAGCUUCAUGCGAAAAGAUUUACUGCUUGUGGUGUUUGCAUAAGAAACUAAAAUCAACUGUGCUAUAGUGACAAAAUGGAGAAACUUAAGAACUGAUGUUAAGGAACCACUACAUGAAAUGCAAACGUUUUCUGUUGUUGUUGUUUUCUGUUUUUAAGAGCGUUGAAUGCUCCAGUUCUAGAUAUAGUUAAGAAGCUUAACUAUAGACGUUUUUUUUUUUUUUCUUCCUUUUCUCUAACGUUAUUUUCAUUCUCUGCAGCCAUACAGCGAUUAUAGUGCAGUCGUAAUCUAGUGCUCACUUAAUAUAAUGUUCACCUGUUGAGGAAAAUGUUUACAGAGGCAAAGUUGAGCUACACUAAUUUUAAUUUUAUUUAUGUUUUCUCUUACAGAACUCUUACCUUUUUUUUUUUUUUUUUUUUUUUUUUUUUUUUGUAUUGACUUAUUUUGUCUGUAUUUCUCUUUUCAGUUGUUUAAGGCUAAUAACUCGGACAGAUAUGAAUAAUGACGUUUCAGAAACGUUCCCGGCUGAUCUGGAUGUCUGUGUUUCAGUCGUGGCACUGUAUUGUUCGUCCUCUCUGUGUGUGCAGGAAGUCUUGUAUUUUCCUGAUGGUCCUUUGUUUUUUCUUUGAAAAUAAACUCCUAAGGUAAUUUAAGGAAAUUUGUGUGAUUUUUACUUUUUUUUUUUUUUUCCCCCCUCUCAAGGUGUUUAAUGCUUUAGUUGUCAUGUUGAAGGUGAUGUACUGAGUGUUUGAACAUUUUACUGGGGACAUCAUUGGCUUCCUCUUUAUUAUUUUGAGACAAGUCCCGCC
Molecule: long non-coding RNA, 1856 nt
Organism: Ictalurus punctatus (channel catfish)
Lineage: Eukaryota; Metazoa; Chordata; Actinopteri; Siluriformes; Ictaluridae
Source: Ensembl